AAAAGGAGUUACUGCCAUUACAUUGGUUUUGCGUGGGCGUAUAGCUACACUUAGCUUUACAACUUUUCAUAGCGAAUGAGAUGUCAAGUCUUUCGUAUUGUGUUGAGUACAUUGAUGCGUCUAAUUGUACUUAAAUGGGAACUCCAUCUCUUAACACAUAUUUGUCAUCUUGCUUUAGACAAAACAACGGAUCUCUCUUUAGAGCAAAGACCUUGACUAAUCAUGGGAGUAUAUGUAGGCCUCACUAGUUAUAGAGCGCCUAAGCCGAUUGAUGGAAAAUCAUCAUCAAUACAGUCAUCGAGUGCCUUAUCGAGACCAUGUCUUCCCAAGAUCUUUUUCUUCGGAUGUUGAUACAUAUUGGCAUCUCUUGAUCCAUCAAGAGUCCAUGUAAAUCCGGAAUGAACACGCAAAGGCAUAAUUCACCAUAUCCCUUCCAAAUCAAGUAGAGUCCAUGUGCAUUUCAAUACAUUUAGCAAACGCAUGCUCCUAUGGUUUGGAGUCACUUGAUUCAGAUGAAUGAAGUCUGUUUAAGACCUUCAUGUAUAUCUCUGAUCCCAUAGAGAUGUUAUUAUGACCACAUUCAUAGGCUGCAUGUUCAGUUAUUCGGAAACUACCAAACUGACAAAGUAGUGGAGUUCAAUGACAUCCAUUACGAGAGCAUAUCUCAUCGUAGUUGAUCCCAGUGCGUGUUAGUGAGAGACCUUGUACCAUAAGGUGAGUCUAAGCUCUUGUUCUCACUACGCUAUCUAACAAAGGUAUAGUUGAUAGGGUUUAGCUUGCGGUGUCGGCAUCACCUGCCCAAGGACCUAUCUCUUUGUUAAUGCUGGAUCGCAUCUUUCCAUUAGGCCAAUCAACUAAGUUGAUAUCAAUCAACUAAGUUGAUAUCCAUCAACGAAGGGUGAUUCGAUAGUAGACUCAUUAUCUCACGUCCUCAUAUACACUAGUGUAAUACUUGUAGAGAUCUCUAUAUGGAUUGGAUUUGACAUUGAGGCGUCCC
Molecule: long non-coding RNA, 997 nt
Filed under: Fragaria vesca (wild strawberry)
Lineage: Eukaryota; Viridiplantae; Streptophyta; Magnoliopsida; Rosales; Rosaceae
Description: long non-coding RNA (FVES_LNC004848)
Source: RNAcentral